Molecule: ribosomal RNA, 482 nt
Filed under: uncultured bacterium
Lineage: Bacteria
Description: partial 16S ribosomal RNA
Rfam family: Bacterial small subunit ribosomal RNA
Source: RNAcentral
AUUGAACGCUGGCGGCAUGCUCUACACAUGCAAGUCGAACGGUAACAGGCCGCAAGGUGCUGACGAGUGGCGAACGGGUGAGUAAUGCAUCGGAACGUGCCCAGUCGUGGGGGAUAACUACUCGAAAGAGUAGCUAAUACCGCAUACGAUCUAUGGAUGAAAGCGGGGGACCGUAAGGCCUCGCGCGAUUGGAGCGGCCGAUGUCAGAUUAGGUAGUUGGUGGGGUAAAGGCUCACCAAGCCAACGAUCUGUAGCUGGUCUGAGAGGACGACCAGCCACACUGGGACUGAGCCACGGCCCAGACUCCUACGGGAGGCAGCAGUGGGGAAUUUUGGACAAUGGGCGCAAGCCUGAUCCAGCAAUGCCGCGUGCAGGAAGAAGGCCUUCGGGUUGUAAACUGCUUUUGUACGGAACGAAACGGCUCUGGUUAAUACCCGGGGCUAAUGACGGUACCGUAAGAAUAAGCACCGGCUAACUACGUG